CGGGUGCGUAACACGUGGAUAACCUUCCUUCAGGUGGGGAAUAACCCAGUGAAAACCUGGGCUAAUACCGCAUAACAUGACGAUGGCACAUGCUGUUGUCUUCAAAGGCGCAAGUCGCCAGAAGAGGGAUCCGCGGCCGAUUAGCUUGUUGGGAGGUAAUGGCUCACCAAGGCAUUGAUCGGUACCGGACUGAAGGUUGGCCGGCACACUGGAACUGAACACGGUCCAAUCCUACGGGAGGCAGCAGUGGGGAAUAUUUGCGCAAUGGAGGAAACUCUGACGCAGCGACGCCGCGUGGGUGACGAAGGCUUUCGGGUCGUAAAGCCCUGUCGGAAGAGAAGAAAAACGAGAUGGCUAAUAUCCAUCUCGCUUGACGGUACCUUCAAAGGAAGCACCGGCUAACUACGUGCCAGCAGCCGCGGUAAUACGUAGGGUGCAAGCGUCGUUCGGAAUCAUUGGGCGUAAAGCGCGUGU
RNAcentral lists this ribosomal RNA (474 nucleotides) under uncultured bacterium. Its description in RNAcentral is "bacterial SSU rRNA". It matches the Rfam family "Bacterial small subunit ribosomal RNA", at positions 103 to 572 of the family's 1533-position model. The record is from RNAcentral.